RNAcentral lists this long non-coding RNA (932 nucleotides) under Serinus canaria (Common canary). RNAcentral describes it as "lncRNA (ENSSCAG00000007002.1)". Lineage: Eukaryota; Metazoa; Chordata; Aves; Passeriformes; Fringillidae. The record is from RNAcentral.
UCAAGGUUGUCCAAGUUGGCCUGAGGGUCAUCCAAGGUGGUCCAAGGUGGUCCAAGGGUCAUCCAAGGUGGUCCAAGGUGGUCCAAGGGUCAUCCAAGGUGGUGCAAGGGUCAUUCAAGGUUGUCCAAGGUGGCCUGAGGGUCAUCCAAGGUGGUCCAAGGGUCAUCCAAGGUGGUCCAAGGGUCAUCCAAGGUGGUCCAAGGGUCAUCCAAGGUUGUCCAAGGUGGCCUGAGGGUCAUUCCAGGUGGUCCAAGGUGGUUGAAGGUCCAGCCAAGGUGGCCCAAGCUCCAUCCAGGGUUGCCCAGGGUCCAUCCAAGGUGGCCCCAGGUCCAUCUGAGGUGGCCCCGGGUCCAUCCAAGGUGGCCCAAGGUCCAUCCAAGGUGGUCCAAGAUGGUCCCAGGUCCAUCCGAGGUGGUCCAAGGUCACCCCAGCUCCAUCCCAGGAGAUCCAGAAGCCACCUGAGGCCACCAGAAGCUCCUCAGAUCCCCCAAGACCCCAAAAUCCCCCAAAAAAUCCCAAAAAAUCUCAAAAAAUCCCCCAAAAUCCCCAAAAAAUCCCAAAAAUCCCCCAAAAACCCAAAAAAAAAUCCCCAAAAUGCCCCAAAAAUAAAAAAAAAUUCCCAAAAAAUCCCCAAAAAAUCCCAAAAUCCCCAAAAAAUCCCAAAAUCCCCAAAAAUCCCAAAAUCCCCAAAAAUCCCCGAGGCACUUCCGGGGUGGGGGAGGGGCCUUGGACCUCCCCUCCCCCCCCCAAAUUUGGGCUUUUCCCGCCAAAAAAAAUCGGAAAUUUUGGGGAAGAAUUUUGGGAAUUUUGGGAAAAAAAAAUUAAGAAUUUUGGGGAAAAAUUUGGGAAUUUUGGAAAAAAUUUUAGGAAAAAAAUUGAGAAAAAAUGUGGGAAUUUUGGGAAAAAAUUUGGGAAAAAUUUGGGAAUUUUGA